GAACUGAAGAGUUUGAUCAUGGCUCAGAUUGAACGCUGGCGGCAGGCCUAACACAUGCAAGUCGAGCGGAUGAAGGGAGCUUGCUCCUGGAUUCAGCGGCGGACGGGUGAGUAAUGCCUAGGAAUCUGCCUGGUAGUGGGGGAUAACGUCCGGAAACGGGCGCUAAUACCGCAUACGUCCUGAGGGAGAAAGUGGGGGAUCUUCGGACCUCACGCUAUCAGAUGAGCCUAGGU
This 233-nucleotide ribosomal RNA is filed under the name Pseudomonas aeruginosa. RNAcentral describes it as "partial 16S ribosomal RNA". It matches the Rfam family "Bacterial small subunit ribosomal RNA", at positions 1 to 236 of the family's 1533-position model. Lineage: Bacteria; Pseudomonadati; Pseudomonadota; Gammaproteobacteria; Pseudomonadales; Pseudomonadaceae. The record is from RNAcentral.